GCUGUUCAUACUGCAUACGUUAACUAAUACGAUUUAAAGUCUGUAAGUGGCGUAAAUGGUUAAUGCAUAUAUAAUAGACUGCGUAAGCGACAAAAGGCGAUCGCGCGCAACGAGGAGCGAGCGGAAAAUUGCUUUCCGGAAAACCAUGCUGUAUCAGUUCAGUAGUGUAGCUACCAUGGUGUAAGAAUAUAAGGUGAACCAUUCCCGUGGAUGCGUAGUAGCCACCAAUCAGAAAUUUGCCCUAAACUUUAAAACACCAAUAUGGCGACACAUUGAAACAAAUACAAUGCCAUCGUGUUGUAUAAAGAAUUGCAAAAGUCGUACAUUUUACACCGACAAAAAAAAUAUAACAUUCUUUAGAUUUUCAAAGGAAAAAGUGAUAUUAGAGAAAUGGAUAAAUGCUUGUGGAAAGAGUGAAGACAACAUAAAAAUUAAUUCUGGAAGGAUAUGCAGUCUUCAUUUUGAAGAUAACUGUUUUGUAAUGCGAUGGACACAGCCAAAAUCUACUAAAACAUGUAUGAAACAAAUGAAACGACUCAAGGAGGGUUCUAUUCCCACAAAAAUGUUACUAUUGGAUAAAAGCAGGAAAAGAAGAAACAAAAAAGGAACAAUGUCAGAUAGUGAUCAUGUUUCUGUAAUGACAGGAAAAAUGUUAAACACCGAAACAUCUAAACAGCAAAUGAGCGAAUUAUCCACUUGUCUACAGAUUGAACAAUGUAUCCAGGAAAAUAUAUAUAGUGAAGAAGAUAAUUUUGAUAAACAGAACUCUCUUAUAUCAUUGAACGACGUGCUAAGAGAAAAUGAAAACCAAAAAAGUGGAAACUAUGAUGUAUCUGAGACGUUAUUGCAAAAGUUACGAUGUUUUGAAAAUGAAAAUAAGAAACUUUUACAAGAGAACAAACAACUCAAAAAGAAAAAUGAGCAAUUAAACACACAAGUAGAACAACUGCAGACAAGUGUUAUGCAAAAUGCUUCUAUGAUACAGAUCCAUGGGUGCAGCAUACGAUCAUCCGACGCCAGUCGAAAUACAACAUCGUUUAAAGUGGUAUAUCUUAGGGAAGCAUUCUGGACAUCUCAUUUCAUCAUAGGAAAAUACGGAAAGGGAUUCUAACUCUUCAAUGCUUAUUGAUAUGGAAGACUUACAUUCGUCGGAUAAUUAUGAUGCAAAUUCUCUACAGCUUAUGUUAGAAAAUUAAAGUAUGAUGGAAAAUGAUGUAUUAAUAGGUUCAACAUUAACAUACAUGACACAAAAUAUGAACACUAAUGAACAAAGAGAAGAAAGAGAAGAAAAUUCUAUGGAAACAGAAAGUGGAGAAGGUUUCCUUUAUAUCCAGGGAAAAUUGUAUUUAUCCUUCAGAAGAUUUUCAAGAAGCCUCUAAUAUUAUGGAAUGAGAAUUUAAAUUAUUUCAUAGCGAUACUUUUAAUAAAGAAGCAUUUAUUUUUGACAGAUUAACGGACAUUGUAUGUAACAAAACCAAUAACAAUUUUGCAAGAGAAGUUGUUGCUUGUUUAGUGCGUACUAGGACAUAUAUUCGUUUAUGCAAAAUAAAUAAAGAAAUUACA
Molecule: unclassified non-coding RNA, 1563 nt
Filed under: Harpegnathos saltator (Jerdon's jumping ant)
Lineage: Eukaryota; Metazoa; Arthropoda; Insecta; Hymenoptera; Formicidae
Description: uncharacterized LOC112589885, transcript variant X3
Source: RNAcentral